GAUGAACGCUGGCGGCGUGCCUAAUACAUGCAAGUCGAACGCAUAGCGAAAGGUGCUUGCACCUUUCAAGUGAGUGGCGAACGGGUGAGUAACACGUGGACAACCUGCCUCAAGGCCGGGGAUAACAUUUGGAAACAGAUGCUAAUACCGAAUAAAACUUAGUGUCGCAUGACACAAAGUUAAAAGGCGCUUCGGCGUCACCUAGAGAUGGAUCCGCGGUGCAUUAGUUAGUUGGUGGGGUAAAGGCCUACCAAGACAAUGAUGCAUAGCCGAGUUGAGGGACUGAUCGGCCACAUUGGGACUGAGACACGGCCCAAACUCCUACGGGAGGCUGCAGUAGGGAAUCUUCCACAAUGGGCGAAAGCCUGAUGGAGCAACGCCGCGUGUGUGAUGAAGGCUUUCGGGUCGUAAAGCACUGUUGUAUGGGAAGAACAGCUAGAAUAGGAAAUGAUUUUAGUUUGACGGUACCAUACCAGAAAGGGACGGCUAAAUACGUG
Molecule: ribosomal RNA, 497 nt
Filed under: uncultured bacterium
Lineage: Bacteria
Description: partial 16S ribosomal RNA
Rfam family: Bacterial small subunit ribosomal RNA
Source: RNAcentral